AAAUAAGAAACAAAUUUUGUAUUUAAUUUCGACUUAAAAUUAUGAGUAUUAUAACUCCUUAUUUA
RNAcentral lists this transfer RNA (65 nucleotides) under Amorophaga japonica. RNAcentral's name for it is "tRNA-Arg". The record is from RNAcentral. Lineage: Eukaryota; Metazoa; Arthropoda; Insecta; Lepidoptera; Tineidae.